AUCUUUGUGUUUGUGGCAGUGAAAAAUCUAGUGAGGUGAAAUUGAGGCAUGUCAAUUGUUGGUUGAAAACUAUUUCCAAUUCGCCAAUAAUUAAAAUGUGGAUUAAAAUCGC
Picea glauca (white spruce) is the source of this 112-nucleotide non-coding RNA. NCBI's taxonomy places the organism in Eukaryota, Viridiplantae, Streptophyta, Pinopsida, Pinales, Pinaceae. The record is from Rfam.